GGGUGAUCUCAUAUUUGGAGAAACACAGAGCAGAAAGGCAUGGUGGCCGGCAGCAGCCUUGCUGGAGGACUACCUGAGCAGAGGAAGAAAUUAGAAGGGGGUGGGAGCCUUGCCUAAGAAUUUGUUCCAGUCCGAGGUAAAGAGAAGUAUCUGCUUCAAGUCUUGAGCCAAGCCUUUGUAUAGCUAAAGCUGCCCCAGCAUCCUGCCACCCCUACACCUCUUUUAGUAGCCCUUCUGAACACUUCAGAGAGAAAGACUCCAGGAAUCUGCCGUGAGGCUGACAGAGUCUUGGUGCUCCGGCCGGGUGUCAGGCCUGAGCCUCUGAGGUGGGAGAGCCAAGUUCGGGACAUUGGUCCACCAGAGACCUCCCGACUCCACGUAAUAUCAAACGGCGAAAGCUCUCCCAGAGAUCUCCAUCUCAACGCUAAGACCCAGCUCCACUCAAGGACCAGCAAGCUCCAGUGCUGGACACCCCAUGCCAAACAACUAGCAAGACAAAAACACAACCCCACCCAUGAGCAGAGAGGCUGCCUAAAAUCAUACUAAGGUCACUGACACCCCAAUACACACCACCGGACGCGGUCCUGCCCACCAGAAAGACAAGGUCCAGCCUCAUCCACCAGCACACAGGCACCAGUCCCCUCCACUAUAGGAAUUAAAAUAAUAACCUGAUCAGCUCGGUGCUU
Molecule: long non-coding RNA, 686 nt
Organism: Balaenoptera acutorostrata (minke whale)
Lineage: Eukaryota; Metazoa; Chordata; Mammalia; Artiodactyla; Balaenopteridae
Exons: 3
Source: RefSeq, a predicted model, not a curated record